Molecule: ribosomal RNA, 377 nt
Filed under: uncultured bacterium
Lineage: Bacteria
Description: bacterial SSU rRNA
Rfam family: Bacterial small subunit ribosomal RNA
Source: RNAcentral
UAAUACGGGGGGUGCGAGCGUUGUCCGGAAUCACUGGGCGUAAAGGGCGCGUAGGUGGUUUGAUAAGGGUGUGGUGAAAGUCCGGGGCUCAACCCCGGAUCUGCCGUGCCGACUGUCAAACUCGAGGACUGUAGAGGCGGGUGGAAUUCCGGGUGUAGCGGUGGAAUGCGUAGAGAUCCGGAAGAACACCGGUGGCGAAGGCGGCCCGCUGGGCUGUGGCUGACGCUGAGGCGCGACAGCGUGGGGAGCAAACAGGAUUAGAUACCCUGGUAGUCCACGCCGUAAACGAUGGGCACUAGGUGCCUGGGGGAGCGACCCCCUGGGUGCCGGCGCUAACGCAUUAAGUGCCCCGCCUGGGGAGUACGGCCGCAAGGCUG